RNAcentral lists this ribosomal RNA (383 nucleotides) under uncultured eukaryote. Its description in RNAcentral is "partial 18S ribosomal RNA". It matches the Rfam family "Eukaryotic small subunit ribosomal RNA", at positions 592 to 976 of the family's 1831-position model. The record is from RNAcentral.
CAAUAGCGUAUAUUAAAGUUGUUGCGGUUAAAAAGCUCGUAGUUGGAUUUCUGGUAGGAGUGACCGUUCCGAACUUGAUUGUUCGUGUAUUGAGUUUUCUCCAGCCAUCCUUGUGGAUAGCUUUUCUUGCAUUAAUUUGUAGGGAUUGUGACCCGCAUCGUUUACUGUGAAAAAAUUAGAGUGUUUAAAGCAGGCAAUCGCUUGAAUACAUUAGCAUGGAAUAAUAAGAUAGGACUUUGGUACUAUUUUGUUGGUUUGCAUACCAAAUUAAUGAUCAACAGGAACAGUUUGAGGAUAUUCGUAUGAACAUGUCAGAGGUGAAAUUCUUGGAUUUUGAUCAGACGAACUACUGCGAAANCANNNAUCAAGGAUGUUUUCAUNAA